UGGGGAAUAUUGGACAAUGGGCGAAAGCCUGAUCCAGCCAUGCCGCGUGUGUGAAGAAGGUCUUCGGAUUGUAAAGCACUUUAAGUUGGGAGGAAGGGCAGUAACCUAAUACGUUAUUGUUUUGACGUUACCGACAGAAUAAGCACCGGCUAACUCUGUGCCAGCAGCCGCGGUAAUACAGAGGGUGCAAGCGUUAAUCGGAAUUACUGGGCGUAAAGCGCGCGUAGGUGGUUUGUUAAGUUGGAUGUGAAAGCCCCGGGCUCAACCUGGGAACUGCAUUCAAAACUGGCAAGCUAGAGUAUGGUAGAGGGUGGUGGAAUUUCCUGUGUAGCGGUGAAAUGCGUAGAUAUUAGGAGGAACACCAGUGGCGAAGGCGGCUUUCUGGACUGUAACUGACGCUGAGGCACGAAAGCGUGGGGAGCAAACA
RNAcentral lists this ribosomal RNA (427 nucleotides) under uncultured prokaryote. RNAcentral's name for it is "bacterial SSU rRNA". It matches the Rfam family "Bacterial small subunit ribosomal RNA", at positions 355 to 774 of the family's 1533-position model. The record is from RNAcentral.